This 210-nucleotide unclassified non-coding RNA is filed under the name Glomus sp. RNAcentral describes it as "partial contains 5.8S ribosomal RNA and internal transcribed spacer 2". The stretch from base 1 to 72 matches the Rfam family "5.8S ribosomal RNA", at positions 84 to 154 of the family's 154-position model. Lineage: Eukaryota; Fungi; Glomeromycota; Glomeromycetes; Glomerales; Glomeraceae. The record is from RNAcentral.
GUGAAUCAUCGAAUUUUUGAACGCAAAUUGCACUCUCCGGUUUUCCGGGAGAGUAUGCCUGUUUGAGGGUCUGUUUAAAAAAUAAUCGAGGCUGCUGCUGUGGUGGCUCUUCGGAAUUGGGUCAUCUUUCACCUUUCGGUUGUAAGGGACCUAAAUUUUUUUUUUCCGUUUUCUACGAACGUUUCUAAGAAUUCCUUGUAGGUUCACGAC